UAGGGAGGAGAAGGAGAGACAGCCUGGUGCGUGGUCUAGGCACCGGCUGCGCUGGAGAGGAGGAAACAGCAGGAGAGAGAACCCGGAGAGACAGCCUGGUACGGGGGGCAGCCACCGGAGGACUGGUACAUGGAGGUGGCACCGGGUCUACCGGACCGUGAAGGAGGACACGUGCUCUUGAGCACCGAGCCUCCCCAACCCUACCAGGUUGAAUGGACCCCGUAGCCCUGCCAGUGCGGCGAGGUGGAGUAGCCCGCACUGGGCUAUGCAGGCGAACCGGGGAUACCACCUGUAAGGCUGGUGCCAUGUACACCGGCCCGAGGAGACGUACUGGAGACCAGAUACGUUGGGCCGGCUUCAUGGCACUCGGCUCGAUGCUCGGCUCGAUGCCCAACCUAGCCCUCCCAGUGCGGCAAGGUGGAAUAGCCCGCACUGGGCUAAGCACGCGUACUGGGGACACCGUGCGCUCUACCGCAUAACACGGUCUCUUACCAGUACGACGCCUUCUACCUCCACGGUAAGCACGGGGAGUUUGCUCGGGUAUCUUACCCGGCUUUGCCACACUCCUCGUGUGCCCCCCCCCAAGAAAUAUUUUGGUCUUACUCACGGGCUCCCAACCGCGUCGUCUCGCUGCCUCCUCAUACCAGCGCCGCUCAGCCUUCGCUGCUUCCAAUUCCUCCUUUGGACGGCGAUAUUCCCCUGGUUGAGCCCAAGGUCCUCUACCGUUCAAGAUCUCCUCCCAAGUCCAGAAGUUCUUGUUGCUCCGUCGAGCAUUCCCAUACCGCUUGGUCUCUGUUUGUAGGUGGGUGAUUCUGUUAUGUCUUCGUCGCUGUCGAUGUAUUUCACUUUCGGGACUGUUUGGCUGUUCGUGUGUUUUGAUGUACGUUCCUGUCCGUAAGUUUACGUUAUGUAAUGUGAGUUUAUGUUCAGGUUUCGUUCUACGUCGUUUUGUUAUUUUGUAAAUUUUGAAAGUAUUUUGUUUUGUUUCGUGUUGCCAUCAGUUCAUCAUUUAUAAAUAAAAGAUGGCUUAUUUCCCUGACUCCGCAUUUUGGUCUGAAGAUCCUUCUCUCCUCACCUCAUCUGAGGAUGAGGAAAGCGACAGCCUUAACAGCUGGUAAAGAAAUUAUUACAAGCCAGCUGGCUGAUGAUACUACACUUUUUCUGAAAGACGCUAACCAAAUUCCCAUAUCGAUCAAUGUGAUACAAUCCUUUUCCAAAGCGUCUGGUCUAUACCUUAACAUUAAUAAAUGUGAACUCAUAGCUGUCAAAGAUUGUGUGACACCUUCAUAUUAUGGUAUUCCAGUAAAAGAAGAACUUACAUAUUUAGGCAUAACCAUUACAAAGGAUCAGAAGUCUAGAGGCUUACUAAAUUUUAACCCUCUUAUUAAAAAACCCCAGAAGAAGCUAAAUCAAUGGCUACAGAGGGACUUAUCUUUAAAAGGAAGAGUACUAAUAACCACGGCUGAAGGUAUCUCUAGACUAACAUAUUGCGCUCUGUCUUUAUAUCUUGACAGUAAAAUAAGCAAGGAGAUAGACCAGAUGCUUUUCAACUUUCUUUGGAGAAACCGUCCCCAUUACAUUAGGAAAACUGUUGUAAUGAACACUUCUGGACUUUACUACUUUAAAUAAUACUUUUAAGAUCAAUUGGAUAAAACAAUUCCUAAGAAGACCCACUUCUAUCUGGAAUUUUAUUCCUCAUCAUGUUUUCUCUACUUUUGGUGGCCUUAACUUCAUGUUGUUGUGCAAUUUUAAUAUUGACAACAUUCCAGUGAAACUUUCUGCUUUUCAUCGGCAGGUUUUCUUGUCAUGGUCCUUAAUUUAUAAACACAAUUUUUCUCCACACAGAUAUUAUAUAUGGAAUAAUCGGGAUAUAUUGUAUAAAAAUACUUCUUUGUUUUUAGAAUAUUGGUUCCGAAAUAAUAUCCUAUUGGUGAGCCAACUGGUAAAUGCAGAGGGUCUUUUACUCAGUUAUAAGGAAUUCUUAUCUCUGUACAAGGUCCCCGUAACACCUAAAGAUUUUGCAAUUGUAUUAGACGCCAUUCCCUCAGGUGUUGCUCUGUUAUUCAGGAACGUGUCAAGGCUUGACCCUCAGAGCCGACCUUCUAUUGACACUGUUGACUCAUCAGUAGGAAAGAUUUGUUUCUUUUGGUCCAUUCAACAACAGAGCGAUACGAACCUUGUUUCAGCAGGAUGUUGUAUCUAUACCUUAUGUCAUGCCUUAUUGGACUGGAUUUAUUGAUAAUAUCUGUUGGAAAAAAAGUUUGGAUGUUGCCACACACAUACCUACUGGUUAACAAAAUUAAGGAGGUUUCCUUUAAAAUGAUUCAUAAAUAUUACCCUGCCAACCACUAUAUGAAGAAGUUUAAGGAAAACAUCAACUCAAAUUGCUCCUUUUGUAAUGACCACCCAGAAACAGUGUUGCAUCUUUUUUGGCAUUGUAUACAUGUAAGAAAACUGUGGCAAGACAUCAGUAGGUUUAUAAUUGAACACAUUUAUGAAGAUUUUACACUAUUGUGGAGAGAUGUACUGCUUGGAUUCUUUACCUACGAUAAUAAGCUGAAACAUUUUUAUGUAAUUAAUUUCAUUAUUCUUUUGGCCAAAUUUCAUAUACACAAAUGUAAAUUUACUAACAAAAAAACACAUUUUCUUUCCCUACAAAAAGAAAUUGAACUGUAUUUUUUUUGUUGUUGUUGUUGUUGUUUCGCCCACCAGCAAGGAGUUUUUGUUUGGCCAAUGAGAGAUUGUCGAAUUUGGUCAAUAAAAAAAAAAUGGAUCGCUUAUUUGCUUUAAGGUUUAUUCGAUCGAGGUUUAUUUGAUCGAAUAGAAGUUCGUAAUGCUUAAGUUGUUAUGAGUGUACUGAAGUAAGUAGGAGACGUAACAUCCAGGCAACGUUGAGAAAAACACUUUAUAUCGAAAUUGUCUCUCUCCAUUGAAUAUAGGCGGAUGACGUCAACAACCAUCGUCGAAUAUUCAAAAAAUUAUUACGAUAACAAAAGAUUUAAGUGGCUUGGAACAGCUAUGUCAGUAGGUGCCAGGUGCACCAGUCUGGUUCAACAACUGCAACGCAGCUGGGCUUUUCAUGCUCAACAGUUUCACGUGUGUAUCAUGAAUACACCACCCAAAGGACAUCCAGCCAACUUGACACAACUGUGGGUAGCAUUGGAGUCAACAUGGGCCAGCAUCCGUGUGGAACGCUUUUGACACCUUGUACUGUAGAGUCCAUGCCCUGACAAAUUGAGACAGAUCUGAGGGCAAAAGAAAUAAUGAUUAGUACAGCAUGCCAAACUGACCCCUGGGUGUCAAAGUGUUCCUGUGCCUCGGUGGAGAAGAGGUUCACCGGGGCCAUCACUAAAGAGCUCGAGGCCUAGCUAGACUGCGCUCACCACCGCCACAGAUGGAGCUGACAGAGAGAACGAGUGAGAUGAGGGAAGACCAGGAUCCGCUGUAUGAAACCGAGAGCUCAGAAUUACAAUCAUCACAGUGCGAGCUAAGAUAUACUAUCAACGAGUGUGUGCAAGAUCUGAAACAGCAUGCUGAAGGAGUUGUUCAUGAGCCAGGCUGUCGAGCACAUUUAAUCAGUUCAUCCCUGAAAAUAAAUGUUUUUUCCAUCACCAUGGAGACCGAGUGUGUUGUGGACCACAGGAGGAAGUUGGAGUCCCAGACCAGAGUGGGAAAUGUUUGCAGGGAAUCUGUUGGUACCAUCACCGGUCUUCCUAACUGGCGGCUCCCACUCCACAUUUGUGGAAACAUGUUGCCUCCUCAGCCUGGUGUCCAUGUCACUGCGACAGUUUGCAAACCAACCUCGCAUCUACAUUGUGCCAGAGGUUACACACAUGUGGAACCAGCACACAGAGGCGAUUCUGGCUAGAAUUGGUGACAGUCCACUGAUUGUAUCUGGAGACGCACGGCGUGAUUCGCCAGGCCAAUGUGCCUUCUUUGGCACUUACACCAUCCUGGACUCUGCUUCCCACCUGAUCCUGCCCAGGAUCAGGUGUGCAUGUGCAUGUGACCCAAUUGAAGAAUGGCUACUGGUUGGACAGAGGGACAGAGGGAUUAGUGAGAUGCCUGCAACACAUCAUUUUUUUAAUGAACCUUCAUGUGUAAACAUUGAGAUAAAACUAUUUUACAAGAGAGCCCUGUAUACGCUUACAAAUAAAACGCAAUACAUAAAUAAAACACAACAGCCCGACAAAACACACUAUAGUAAAACACAUAAUACACACCAUUAAACAUAUUUAAGAAAAGCAAUCGCAUAUUGAAACAUAAAAGUUAUUUUAAAAUUAUUUUGAGGUAAGCUAUAGCCUAACCUAUAUUUUGUAGCUAGCCUAAGGGUUGUAAGUGUGUAUUUGGUGGAUGUAUGAAGAGCACUUAGGUACCCUUUUAGUAAUAAUACUUUUGUUAUUUUCCUAACAGGCCCAUGGAUGCAGUAUUGAAACCCUGGCCACUGACAGGCAUCCACAUGUGAGGGUGCACUUGAGGGACUCCUAUGCUCAUACAGUAUCUGGCAUGAGUAUGAGCUUUUGGCACAUGGCCAAAGGUGUGAGGAAAAAGCCGGUGGCCGUCGGGAAGCCAGAGGUACUGCCAUGGGCGAGGGCAUUAACACACCACUUGCGGUACUGUGCCGCCUGGUGGGAGUGUCCAGGUGCUAAAAGAAAAGUGGAUCACCACAGUUCACCACGUUACGAAUGAGCACCACUCAACUGCUGUGAGCACCCCCCCCCCCCC
Long non-coding RNA from Salvelinus fontinalis (brook trout), 4725 nucleotides. RefSeq lists it as uncharacterized. NCBI's taxonomy places the organism in Eukaryota, Metazoa, Chordata, Actinopteri, Salmoniformes, Salmonidae. The record is from RefSeq and is a predicted model, not a curated record. The transcript has 3 exons.